RNAcentral lists this ribosomal RNA (460 nucleotides) under uncultured bacterium. RNAcentral describes it as "partial 16S ribosomal RNA". It matches the Rfam family "Bacterial small subunit ribosomal RNA", at positions 338 to 795 of the family's 1533-position model. The record is from RNAcentral.
CCUACGGGUGGCAGCAGUGAGGAAUAUUGGUCAAUGGGCUUACGCCUGAACCAGCCAAGUCGCGUGAGGGAAGACUGCCCUACGGGUUGUAAACCUCUUUUGUCAGGGAGCAACGCCGGCUACGUGUAGCCGGACUGAGAGUACCUGAAGAAAAAGCAUCGGCUAACUCCUUGCCAGCAGCCGCGGUAAUACGGAGGAUGCGAGCGUUAUCCGGAUUUAUUGGGUUUAAAGGGUGCGUAGGCGGCAUGCCAAGUCAGCGGUAAAAUCGCGGGGCUCAACCUCGCUCCGCCGUUGAAACUGGCGGUCUUGAGUGGGCGAGAAGUAUGCGGAAUGCGUGGUGUAGCGGUGAAAUGCAUAGAUAUCACGCAGAACUCCGAUUGCGAAGGCAGCAUACCGGCGCGCAACUGACGCUGAAGCACGAAAGCGUGGGUAUCGAACAGGAUUAGAUACCCGAGUAGUC